This is a long non-coding RNA of Crotalus tigris (Tiger rattlesnake), 3149 nucleotides long. RefSeq lists it as uncharacterized. The transcript is spliced from 2 exons. The record is from RefSeq and is a predicted model, not a curated record. Lineage: Eukaryota; Metazoa; Chordata; Lepidosauria; Squamata; Viperidae.
GAGAGGGCGGCCCGCCACGCCCGGGAGCUGCGAGGGAGCGCGGCGCCACCCGGUCUUCCGGAGCGGCUCUCCGGGCGGGAGGGCGGCGGGCCCGGCCGGCGAGCAGCGACGACGCGGGCGGGUCGAUCAGCUGUUCAAGGGGAGGUUCAGCGCGCCGAGCCGGAAGGGAGGCGGGCAGGAAGGGCCGCGGCUCGGAGCCGCAACAGGAAGGAAGAAGGGAAUGAGGCAGGGCUGACGUGAAGGGAUGCAAAACAGCCCCUCCUAACCCGGCGCGGAGAGAGGGAGAAAGAGAAAGGCGCAGAGAGGAGGGAGAGCCGCCGCCGCCCUUUUAUCUCGCUUUUGUUGUCGCACUUCCUCUCGCUCCGGCCGCGCCAAGUUUUCUUUCUCCUGCCGCCCGGCUUCUCUCGCCCCUUUCGCCCCCGCGGGGGACCCGAGAGCCCCCUGGCUCUCCCCGGGCCAGAUGGAGCUCCGAGGGAGCCAAGCCUGGCCGCCUCCCGGUGAAGCAGGUGAGGAGGGACCCGGAGCUGGCCUGGCCCGGGAGACUCCUUAUCCCGGGCUCAGCCCGCCCGCCUCCACUUGGACGAGCCAAGGCUGCUGCCGGGCGCCCGGGAGGGGCCCGACCCGCCGCCCUCUUUCCUGCAGCCUCCGAGGCCGCUGGCUGGGCACAUGGAAGCCCUGAAAUAAGCGGCUGGGGUUAAAAAGGCCAAAGGUGGGCAGCCCCUAGGCAGCCCCUUUUCUUCUGGGCACAGGGUGGACCCAUUUGUACCAGUGGGUGGGGUGUUGUGAUUUGACAGGGACGACGAGGAAGACGUCAGGCUGUCCCUGCUUGUCCUGCAGGCCUUGGGUCGACACAUCAUGCUAUGCCUGCUUAGUGCUUUUUGUGGCCUGUGUGCGGGUAUGCUACAUGCACCCAGCCAUCAUGGUUUAUGGCACAAUCCGACCCGUCACUUGUGGUUUGUUCAUUAAAUCCACGUGCGUAGCAAAGAAGACCCUCUGCCCUUGCAAAAAAUGGCUUUCAUCUCUCAGAGUUCUUCCCCACGUCAGUUCCAAUUCAUCCCCAUUCUGAAACACAAAAAUGUAGCCCCAAAGAUUUAAAGCAGGAAGGGACUCCGGUUCCUCAUUAACAGCCCCCAGAGACCUCCUCACCCACCAGGACGCACCAUCCUCUGCCUGGAAUCUGCCACCCUCCGCACCCCGUGCACUGCCGCUAGUCAGGUCUUCUCAAGGAGCCUCAUUGUCCAGCACACCCUUGCGACAGUCAGAAGGAGCAGCUCUUCUUUCCACACAAGCCACGUUUCAAAAUGCCCACUCUGGGAAAAUCAGAACCCCAUCAUUCUGCCAAAUCAGCCUUCCGGGUUUACUGGCUGAUUUGUGAAACUGGCAAUCAUAGUCCAGAAGGUCUGCGGGCCUAGAAAUUUUCUCCCUUUUGCAGGAGAAAAAUGAGCUGUCAUGAAUGUGGCACAGAGAAAAGCCACAGCUGCAGCCCCACAAGCCCAUGAUGCCACCCUGAACCUUUUGUAGAUUUUCAGGCUCCCAACUUCGAUGAGGCAUGCGGAGCCCCCAAUAGCCAGCAUUAUCGGAUGAGUGUUCCCUUGUUUCCGGAAUAUUGGCUCAGCCAGUGCCAAGCAGUCACGGUCACAUCCAUCUUAGGCUGUCACUGGGUGCAUCAGCAGUUGAGAGCAAGGCAGAUGCCCUUAGGAACCCCUGAGAGGAGUCCAGGAGCACCACCACCUGCCUUUCAGAAGGCUUCCGCUUUGCACUCAAGCGUGCAAGAGCCCUGAGGUCAUCCAGUCCAGCCUUCUCUGGGCACCAGAAGGCUCCCGAUGGCAGGCAGGAGCCACCUUGCUCAUUCUCACCCCACAGCUUCUGCUUCAGGAGGGGCAACAGCUCUGUGGCCACAGAUGGGCCAUACGCUGUGAAACCGGCAUGUUCCCUUUCAGAGUCACCCACGUUGACUGCUGCUGUCAGAACUGUGGUACUCUGUAAAAUAACGUUUCCUGUGAUUGAUCUCCAGUCCCUUGCUCAAUUUCAGCCAGUGCCUGGGUGGUGUGGGAGAAAAGCCCACUUGAUGCGGCUUGGCAAUUUAAUAGGCCUCUGGUGCUGCUGUCCAAGCUAAUAGCCCCAAUUCCUACAAUCUUUGCUUCGUUCUUUCAGUGCCCUUUUUAAAGUAUUUCCUAAGUGCAUCACAUCCUCUUUAAUUCUCCUUAUUUCCUUCUAGGACAUAAACAUCUUAGGAGCUGUCAAAAUGCUGACCGAAGAGCCUUCUGUUGCCCCGUAAAUCACCCCCCCUCCUUCGCUAAUGGCCUCUUCCCUGACAGGCCUGUCCUCUUCCGCUGAGCUGCUUCCGAGGGAGGGAGGGAGGGAGGGAGCCCCUGCCGGCAUUUCCUGCUUGCAGUCGUGCCUGGCCAGGAGCAGGAUGUGAGCUGGCUGGUAGCUCAGCCGACAGGCUUCUGGAGGCAGAGGCAAGCUGGGCACCUUGACGGCCUGUGCGGGCCCAGCCUGGUGUGGCUGCCAGAACUGGAGUGGCUAAGGACAAGCUGCUAUCAGACCAUCUUGGGCAAUUUUAUUUAUUUAUUUAUUUGUAUAUGAUUUUGAUUAGAAUAUUAAAAGUUAAUACUUUCUUUGUACACAAAGAAAAACAAGAAAGUGCAAGAAAAAAAAUUAGAAAUAUAGUGAGGAAAGAGAAAAAUAUGUAAAGAAAUAACUCCCAAUCUUCAUCACACGCAUAGACAAAUUUAGUAACUCUGCAUGCCCUCCAAGAUUACAAAUAGAUAAGCCCUCAUCCCAUAUCCCUUAAUAAUAAGCAAAUCCAUAAAACAUCACUUUUCAAUCCUGGUAUCAGUAAAAAGUCCAUAAGAGGUGCAGGAACUAUGCAAAUUUCUUGUUUUAAUCUUUAAAAGAUUAAUUAAAUAAUUUAAUAAGCCAACUUUGUGCUCUUUCAUUUCUAACAGUUUUAAUCUUUAGUUCAUUCAAAUACUGAUGUAAAAUUUGAUUUAGAUUCUUUUUCCAACUACUAUUUCUUCAAGGGUUUAACAAGACUUUUGUAGAUUCAGAUCUUUCUUUUGGUUUGCCAUUUGUAUUUUACCUUUUUUUUUAACACUUCAGCUAGUGUCUUUUCUAUAGCCAAUAAACAUUUUUCCAAAAUAUUA